This 253-nucleotide ribosomal RNA is filed under the name uncultured bacterium. RNAcentral's name for it is "partial 16S ribosomal RNA". It matches the Rfam family "Bacterial small subunit ribosomal RNA", at positions 524 to 776 of the family's 1533-position model. The record is from RNAcentral.
GACAGAGGGUGCAAACGUUGUUCGGAAUUACUGGGCGUAAAGCGUGUGUAGGCGGUCCACUAAGUCGGGUGUGAAAGCCCUGGGCUCAACCCAGGAAGUGCACUCGAAACUGGCGGGCUAGAGUAUCGGAGAGGUUGGUGGAAUUCUCGGUGUAGAGGUGAAAUUCGUAGAUAUCGAGAGGAACACCUGUGGCGAAAGCGGCGCACUGGACCACAUCUGACGCUGAGGCGCGAAAGCUAGGGGAGCAAACAGG